UAAUCGAUUUCAACCCACCCCACCUUUUUCCUUCUCUAACUUCUUUACCUAUAACAACAAUAUUUCAUCACUCCUCUUUUAAAAAAAAAUCUAUUCAAAAAUCGAAUAUUUAGGCCUCUCAUUCUUCAAUUGUGAUUGGGCAUGGUGAGUGACACCAAUCUUUUUUCCUUUUUCUUUUUGAGACAUAAUUAUACCUUUCCAAAGGGGAGAAAAAGUAAAAAUACAUUUGUAAAAGAAUUAGUUUUGAUAUUUAAAACGAUGGAC
RNAcentral lists this long non-coding RNA (264 nucleotides) under Gossypium barbadense (sea-island cotton). Its description in RNAcentral is "long non-coding RNA (GBAR_LNC016432)". The record is from RNAcentral. Lineage: Eukaryota; Viridiplantae; Streptophyta; Magnoliopsida; Malvales; Malvaceae.